This 150-nucleotide unclassified non-coding RNA is filed under the name uncultured Xylariales. Its description in RNAcentral is "sequence contains ITS2". Lineage: Eukaryota; Fungi; Ascomycota; Sordariomycetes; Xylariales. The record is from RNAcentral.
CAACCCUUAAGCUUAGCUUAGUGUUGGGAGAUUACUCUAUAGUAACUCCCCAAAACCAUUGGCAGAGUCAAUACACCUCUGAGCGUAGUAAUUUUCACCUCGCUUCUGCGGCCUGUAUUAACGAUCGCCACAAACCUAUUAUUUUUCAAU